CAUAAAUCUCCCUUAAGUGGACAACUGCAUUAAACUAUGUUUUGAGAGUGUCCGCUUACGGACUAUACCGCCAUUCUAGCCACUGAGAUAUCGACCCAACGGAUUAAAUUGGAAGCGAUUUUUGUCCAAGUUUACGAAUGUACGAAAUCUUUGCAAAAAUCUCACAUCUUGUCAACAAGAUGUGUUCGCAAGUUUCUACAAUAUUGUCACUCACAACUUUUCAACAAGUUGUUAAAUUGCAGGACGACAACAAUUGUUGGAAUAACUUGUAACAAGUCUGUUGAGUUCAACAACCUUGUAGCAAGUUGUCAACAAGCCGAUGACAACUUGUUAACAAGUUGGGAACAAGCAAUGCAACAUAUCCUGAUGACAAGUUGUUGAAACAGCAUGGCUGAUACAAGUCUGCUGCAGGUUGUUACAAGUUGUGCAUUUUUUUAGGUGUCACUGUGUAAUAGACUGUUUUCAUUGCUUUUAGCGGAGUCAUAUGUUGGCAGAGGAUUUAUCGAGAAAAACAUGAUCCGACAUGGACGUGGUAGAUAUGGCAGGGGUAGAAAGGCAUAUACUCAUUACUUUGUUGUUGUUAAAGAAGGUCUGCCGAAACCUAAAGACCAGCGACGAAGUAUUGAGGAAAAAACAGAGUUUGAACGUUAUGUGGAACAUCAACCAAAGAUAAUGGAUAGUCAUGCAUGGUGGUGAGCACUUGAAUACGGCAUCCUCAGUUAUUUGAAAUGAAUAUAUAUCAUAUA
Molecule: non-coding RNA, 746 nt
Organism: Paramuricea clavata
Lineage: Eukaryota; Metazoa; Cnidaria; Anthozoa; Malacalcyonacea; Plexauridae
Source: the annotation of a GenBank genome assembly